Molecule: ribosomal RNA, 562 nt
Filed under: uncultured bacterium
Lineage: Bacteria
Description: bacterial SSU rRNA
Rfam family: Bacterial small subunit ribosomal RNA
Source: RNAcentral
CCUACGGGAGGCAGCAGUGGGGAAUAUUGGACAAUGGGCGAAAGCCUGAUCCAGCAAUGCCGCGUGAGUGAUGAAGGCCUUAGGGUUGUAAAGCUCUUUUACCAGGGAUGAUAAUGACAGUACCUGGAGAAUAAGCUCCGGCUAACUCCGUGCCAGCAGCCGCGGUAAUACGGGGGGAGCUAGCGUUGUUCGGAAUUACUGGGCGUAAAGCGUACGUAGGCGGUUAUUCAAGUCAGAGGUGAAAGCCUGGAGCUCAACUCCAGAACUGCCUUUGAAACUAGAUAGCUAGAAUCUUGGAGAGGUGAGUGGAAUUCCGAGUGCAGAGGUGAAAUUCGUAGAUAUUCGGAAGAACACCAGUGGCGAAGGCGACUCACUGGACAAGUAUUGACGCUGAGGUACGAAAGCGUGGGGAGCAAACAGGAUUAGAUACCCUGGUAGUCCACGCCGUAAACGAUAGAUAACUAGCUGUUCGGGCUCUACGAGCUUGAGUGCGCAGCUAACGCAUUAAGUUAUCCGCCUGGGGAGUACGGUCGCAAGAUUAAAACUUAAAUGAAAUUGACAG